Molecule: long non-coding RNA, 1205 nt
Organism: Zonotrichia leucophrys gambelii
Lineage: Eukaryota; Metazoa; Chordata; Aves; Passeriformes; Passerellidae
Exons: 3
Source: RefSeq, a predicted model, not a curated record
GGCGGGGGAAGAGGACGAGGAGGAAGGAGCAGCGCUCGGAGCGGCGGUGGCAGCGGCCCCUGCCCGGGCUGCGGCGGGGACGGAGCCCGCGGGUGUCCGGCCGCGGUGUCCCCCGUGUCCCCACGUGCAGGCUCCUCCUUGCUGCUCUCUGAAAGCAUUUCGAGCUCCACACACAGAAGCUGUUUCUCAGUGAGCAGCUGUGGGGCAUUUGGCUGAUGGUUUUGACAGCAGAGAUGAAUUGAGGACGUGGCAUCUGCAGUCCUGACCUGGAAUUUGAACCCUUUAGUGCCUCUCCCUCCUCCCAGAUGGAGAGGAGGCGGAGGAUCUCGGAAUCUUCUGAUUGCCAUCGAUCUGAUUUUGCUGAGCACUGGCCUCGUAUCACAUCUGUGUGUUCCUUGAGAGAUGAUUUCAAUCUGAAAAAAACCCCUGAUCAUGAAGAAAACCCUGAGAGAGUAGUGAUGGAUCCAGCAGCAGCCCUGGGGAGGCCCCACACUGCUGGAGCCACCAGCUUCAUGGAACAUUUUCCUGGUGUCCAAUAGUGGUUUUCUAGUCUUAAAAACUGAUCACAUUUCCUUUCCUCCCUCCUUCCCUCCCAAAGGCAUUUUUUGUCGUCUGUGUCCAAAACUUCCAGCAGAAACUCCAUGAUUGGAGCAAUUUGGUCCAAUGCCAUGAGAAGGGACUGCUCCACACACUUUAGGAAGAGCAAAAAGGAGAAAGAAAAGAAGGUGAAGCCCUCUGUGCUGUGCCUGAUCACUCAUCAAAGGCAGCUGCCUCCUGUGCUGGCUUGAGGACAUGACAGAUGUCUGCAGCCUUUACAGGUGCAGGGCCUGCAUUUCAUCAGUCUUUUUCCCAUGGGUGACCUGCAGUGUGGUUUAUUAGCAGCUCAGAUUUCCUUGGCCAAGGUGCUGUGUUGUGUACACAUCCGGGUUAAAGCUAAGCAAUAUUUCUGAUCCAUGUAGGAUUCUGACUCGGUCCUGCAUCUCUGGUGUUUACAAAAUGAUCAGAGCUUGAACUCUCCCUGUUCUGUUUCUUAAAUGUCAGCAGAAACUUUUUCUUUUUUUUUUUUAAAUAAAACAAUGCAGCCUUCCCGUGCAAUGUUUGUAACCAAGAAACUGUGGCAUCACAAGAGCAUGAGGAAAUACUGGCUGAUUAAAACCAGGGUAAGAAAUAAGAAAUGACAGCGAAAGUGUUUGUCUUUUUUUUUU